UAAUACAUGCAAGUCGAACGAGUUCUCGUUGAUGAUCGGUGCUUGCACCGAGAUUCAACAUGGAACGAGUGGCGGACGGGUGAGUAACACGUGGGUAACCUGCCCUUAAGUGGGGGAUAACAUUUGGAAACAGAUGCUAAUACCGCAUAGAUCCAAGAACCGCAUGGUUCUUGGCUGAAAGAUGGCGUAAGCUAUCGCUUUUGGAUGGACCCGCGGCGUAUUAGCUAGUUGGUGAGGUAACGGCUCACCAAGGCGAUGAUACGUAGCCGAACUGAGAGGUUGAUCGGCCACAUUGGGACUGAGACACGGCCCAAACUCCUACGGGAGGCAGCAGUAGGGAAUCUUCCACAAUGGACGCAAGUCUGAUGGAGCAACGCCGCGUGAGUGAAGAAGGCUUUCGGGUCGUAAAACUCUGUUGUUGGAGAAGAAUGGUCGGCAGAGUAACUGUUGUCGGCGUGACGGUAUCCAACCAGAAAGCCACGGCUAACUACGUGCCAGCAGCCGCGGUAAUACGUAGGUGGCAAGCGUUAUCCGGAUUUAUUGGGCGUAAAGCGAGCGCAGGCGGUUUUUUAAGUCUGAUGUGAAAGCCCUCGGCUUAACCGAGGAAGCGCAUCGGAAACUGGGAAACUUGAGUGCAGAAGAGGACAGUGGAACUCCAUGUGUAGCGGUGAAAUGCGUAGAUAUAUGGAAGAACACCAGUGGCGAAGGCGGCUGUCUGGUCUGUAACUGACGCUGAGGCUCGAAAGCAUGGGUAGCGAACAGGAUUAGAUAC
This 772-nucleotide ribosomal RNA is filed under the name Lactobacillus casei group sp. RNAcentral's name for it is "bacterial SSU rRNA". It matches the Rfam family "Bacterial small subunit ribosomal RNA", at positions 49 to 785 of the family's 1533-position model. The record is from RNAcentral. Lineage: Bacteria; Bacillati; Bacillota; Bacilli; Lactobacillales; Lactobacillaceae.